GAUGAACGCUGGCGGCGUGCCUAAUACAUGCAAGUCGAGCGAACGGACGAGAAGCUUGCUUCUCUGAUGUUAGCGGCGGACGGGUGAGUAACACGUGGAUAACCUACCUAUAAGACUGGGAUAACUUCGGGAAACCGUAGCUAAUACCGGAUAAUAUUUUGAACCGCAUGGUUCAAAAGUGAAAGACGGUCUUGCUGUCACUUAUAGAUGGAUCCGCGCUGCAUUAGCUAGUUGGUAAGGUAACGGCUUACCAAGGCAACGAUGCAUAGCCGACCUGAGAGGGUGAUCGGCCACACUGGAACUGAGACACGGUCCAGACUCCUACGGGAGGCAGCAGUAGGGAAUCUUCCGCAAAGGGCGAAAGCCUGACGGAGCAACGCCGCGUGAGUGAUGAAGGUCUUCGGAUCGUAAAACUCUGUUAUUAGGGAAGAACAUAUGUGUAAGUAGCUGUGCACAUCUUGACGGUACCUAAUCAGAAAGCCACGGCUAACUACGUG
RNAcentral lists this ribosomal RNA (497 nucleotides) under uncultured bacterium. RNAcentral's name for it is "partial 16S ribosomal RNA". It matches the Rfam family "Bacterial small subunit ribosomal RNA", at positions 28 to 507 of the family's 1533-position model. The record is from RNAcentral.